RNAcentral lists this ribosomal RNA (253 nucleotides) under uncultured bacterium. Its description in RNAcentral is "partial 16S ribosomal RNA". It matches the Rfam family "Bacterial small subunit ribosomal RNA", at positions 524 to 776 of the family's 1533-position model. The record is from RNAcentral.
UACGUAGGUGGCAAGCGUUAUCCGGAUUUACUGGGUGUAAAGGGCGUGUAGGCGGGAGUGCAAGUCAGAUGUGAAAACCACAGGCUCAACCUGUGGCCUGCAUUUGAAACUGUACUUCUUGAGUACUGGAGAGGCAGACGGAAUUCCUAGUGUAGCGGUGAAAUGCGUAGAUAUUAGGAGGAACACCAGUGGCGAAGGCGGUCUGCUGGACAGCAACUGACGCUGAGGCGCGAAAGCGUGGGGAGCAAACAGG